Non-coding RNA from Acanthosepion pharaonis, 113 nucleotides. The record is from the annotation of a GenBank genome assembly. NCBI's taxonomy places the organism in Eukaryota, Metazoa, Mollusca, Cephalopoda, Sepiida, Sepiidae.
UUACGGCCAUAUCACGUUGAAGCACCGGUUCCAGUACGAUCCCCAAAGUUAAGCAACGUCGAGCCUGGUCAGUACAUACAUUGGUAACUACUUUGGAUUACCAGCUGCUGUAU